Non-coding RNA from Ictidomys tridecemlineatus (thirteen-lined ground squirrel), 4325 nucleotides. Lineage: Eukaryota; Metazoa; Chordata; Mammalia; Rodentia; Sciuridae. The record is from RefSeq and is a predicted model, not a curated record.
AUAAAGCUACCAAUCCUUCCAAUCGCCAAGAGGACUGGGAAUACAUAAUUGGCUUCUGUGAUCAGAUCAACAAAGAGCUUGAAGGGCCCCAGAUUGCCGUCCGACUACUAGCCCACAAGAUCCAGUCUCCCCAGGAAUGGGAAGCAGUACAGGCCCUGACGGUAUUGGAGGCGUGUAUGAAGAACUGUGGGAGGAGAUUUCAUAACGAAGUGGGAAAGUUCCGGUUUUUAAAUGAGUUAAUCAAAGUCGUCUCUCCAAAGUACCUGGGGGACAGAGUGUCUGAGAAGGUGAAGACUAAGGUCAUCGAGUUGCUUUAUAGCUGGACAAUGGCCCUGCCAGAAGAAGCAAAAAUCAAAGAUGCCUACCAUAUGUUGAAGAGACAAGGCAUUGUGCAGUCUGACCCACCAAUCCCCAUGGACAGGACACUGAUCCCUUCUCCACCACCUCGUCCCAAAAACCCUGUUUUUGAUGAUGAGGAGAAAUCUAAGCUUUUAGCCAAACUGCUGAAAAGCAAAAACCCAGAUGACCUGCAGGAGGCAAAUAAGCUCAUUAAGUCCAUGGUGAAGGAAGAUGAGGCUCGUAUCCAAAAGGUGACCAAGCGCCUGCAUACACUGGAGGAGGUCCACAACAGCGUGAAGCUGUUGCAUGAGAUGCUGCUUCACUAUAGCCAGGAGCACUCAUCAGAGGCAGACCGAGAGCUCAUGAAGGAGUUGUUUGAUCGGUGUGAGAAUAAGAGACGGACAUUAUUUAAAUUAGCCAGCGAGACAGAGGACAAUGACAAUAGUUUGGGGGACAUCCUGCAGGCCAGUGACAACCUCUCCCGGGUCAUCAACUCUUAUAAAACAAUUAUUGAAGGGCAGGUCAUCAAUGGUGAGGUGACCACCUCAACCAUGCCUGACUCUGAAGGAAACAGCCAAGGCACUCUCAUCGACCUUGCUGAGUUGGAGACACCUAACAAUUCAUCCCCAAUGUUGGCGCCAGCACCUGCCCCACUCCCCUCAGGCAUCCCUGUCCUCCCUCCACCCCCUCAGACCUCUGGACCUUCACGCAGUCGCUCAUCCAGCCAGGCUGAAGCUCCCACAGGGCUCAGCAGCACAAGCAACGCCCUUUCCUUGCUGGAUGAGGAACUGCUUUGCUUGGGCCUUACUGACCCAGCCCCUACUGCUCCCCCCAAAGAAUCAGCUGGAAACAGCCAGUGGCACAUGUUCCAGAAUGAACAGUCCAACCUGGACUUCUUCUGCCCCAGGCCAGGACCUGCUGUCUGCAGCUCCUCAGAUGGGACCCUGCUCCCAUCCUCAGCCCCUGCCUCAAGUACCUCCCAAGCUCCACUGCCACGUCCCUUCCCAGCUCCCAUGGUCCCUUCCAGUGUACCUGCCCCCAGUGCAGCCUCCUUCAUGUUCUCUUCUGGACUCACCCCAGCUCUGACUCCAAAGGCUGAACCUGUGGCCCCAGAAAGCCAUUGCUCAGCACUGGGUGACAGCACCCUGCACCACCUGGAUGCCCUUGAUCAGCUUCUGGAAGAGGCCAAAGUGACCUCAGGCUUAGUGAAACCUGCUUCCUCUUGCUUUUCGCCCGGAACCACCGCCUCCCCACUGCUCCCUACUUCCACCCCAGCCAAGCCUCUUCUGACCUUCUCCACUGGGCCUGGCAGCCCUCUCUUCCAGCCACCAGCCUUCCAGUCCCAGGGCAGCCCCAUGAAAGGGCCUGAGCUCUCCCUGACCAGUGUCCAUGUGCCCCUGGAAUCAAUCAAGCCUAGCAGUGCCCUUCCUGUGACAGCCUAUGAUAAAAAUGGCUUCCGCAUCCUCUUCCACUUUGCCAAGGAGUGUCCACCUGGACGGCCUGAUGUGCUGGUGGUGGUGGUGUCCAUGCUGAAUACAGCUCCCUUGCCUGUCAAGAGCAUUGUGUUGCAGGCUGCAGUGCCCAAGUCAAUGAAAGUGAAGUUGCAACCACCUUCUGGGACAGAACUCUCUCCAUUUAGUCCCAUCCAGCCACCUGCAGCCAUCACCCAGGUCAUGCUGCUAGCCAAUCCAAUGAAGUGGCAGACUGUCCUAUGAACAUCUCAGCAGGACAUGGAACCCAGCCUAGCAGAAACAGAACUUGGCCUCAUCACAGCCUCAACUAGGGAUAGGAAAGAAAAUGGAAGAGAACCAGUUACCCCUUCAAAAGCAGGUUCAGAGUAGACAUGAACAGAAACUGGUGGAUUAUAAAAAUUUGCCUUGUACUUGCAAAAGAAAACGUUUAAUUAUUUUAAAAAAUCUAUAUAUACAUUGCCAUAUAGUUGCAGCAGUUCUCAGCUGACCUCAAGAACCUUCCAAUGAGCCUUCUCUUAUUAUUGCGCGAGCAAGAUUCCGGGCCAGAGCGAGUCUCAGCAUUUCCACCUUAGUGGUUUCUAUAUCGUCGUCCUGAAAAGCAGAGAGCCAACAUGUGUUGCAGAAAAUCUUCAAAGAUACACAGAGUAAGAGUAUGCAGAGGGCCACAAUGCAGCUGAUCAACAGGGGAAAAACAUGGACGAUUGCCCCCUAAAAUGUGGCACGUUGACUACAGGCUAAGCAGAAACCAAGAGGCACAUGUGCUAGACCAAUGUUUUAGGGGUACAGGGCAGGGGAAGGAAAGCCAGACAGCCAUUUCCUGUCUUCACUGUGGAAGCAUCAAACUGGAAGCUAAACUGACCUGUAGUCGCUGUGCAUCAGGCUCUGCACGCUCUGGCUUCCCUGAAGUCAAGUCCUCCAGACAUCGCAUCAGCUCGUAUGUUUGUUCUGCUGAGAAAAUCACCUGGGGGAGAGAAGCUGCUUCACUUAGCUGCUCUCCAGCCAAGGCCAGAGAAAGUCGGCCCUCUGUGCCCUUAAGAGAAGUACUUUGUAUGUGGUGCCACGGAGGAUGGAGCAGUAUCAGAGUCUUGACAUUCAGCCCUCUAAGCUUCUACUUAGGCCCUGGACAGAGAACUGUUAUGGACAGCUGCUGUCAACAUUUUUUUGGAGUGACUACUGGAUUUGUAGCAUGGAUGCUUGGGGAGAAUACACAGGCAAACAACUACUUCAGAGAAAACAUGAAUAUGGGCCAUGACUACAGAACUAAGCUGUCAGGAAUUACAAAAGGCAGAAAAGAAAAUCCCCAGGAACUUAAGCCUUACCUGUUUCUGUUCCAAAAGGGGCAGGGCAUCUGUGAGCAGAGUCAUCCAGAAAGAGCGGGGCGCAAUCUGGGAAGUCAUCAGAGACAACAGGAGAGACGCAGCAUCCCCAAAGCGCUUCUCUCCAUAUAAUCGGUGGAACUCACGGUAUUUUCCUAUCAAGAGGAGGGAAAACCAGGUCACCUGCAAGCUCCCAGGUGACAUGUAGAUCACCCAGGACCCAGACAAGAGGAAAGGGAUCCUAGAUCACCCAUUCCACAGAGCAGGGAGAAGUUUCCAGAGCGGUCUCUAAGUUCACAGAUCAAUGAUAAUCAAAUUCAGAAGUUCCAAAAUACUGGCUUUGAAGAGCUCCCAGAGCCAAAUGUGGGAAACUUAUCAGCAUCAAAAGAAGUCAAAGAGUCCUGGAUUAUAACAGACUGAUGGUAUUCCACAAAUCCCCAAUCCAAUAAUAAAGAAGGGAACACUUCCUUACAGUAAGACACUAGCUAAUACACAGGAGCAACAAUCUAGAGCCAGAAGUGUAGUGAGGAAAAGACAUUCAAAUCACCCAAAGCAUCUCCCCACCAAUCUCUAAAUCACAGGGGAAAAGAGUACAUCAUGAGCCACCCAGCCUACUCUACUCUAGCUACAUGCUCAGAACACCACCAACAGCAGUAAGGGGACAGACAGCUCACCAAUUCCAUUCACAACAUCUCAGUGGCAUUCCUGCCUCAAACAGCUUUGAAUCUAAUCAGGAAAAAUCUGAUAAACCCAAACAGAACAUUCUACAAGGGUGGGUCUGUGCCUUCAAAAAUAUUAAGAUAAACUGGGGGCUGGGGAUAUAGCUCAGUUGGUAGAGUGUUUGCCUCACAAGCAAGACCUUGGGUUCAAUUCCCAGCCACAUGGGGAAAAAAAAGAUGGGCAAAGUGACACAGCAGAAUUACAAGUCAGAGAUCAGCCUCAGCAACUCGGCAAGACCCUGUCCCCAAAAAACAUUUUUUAGGGGCUACGGCUAUGGCUCAGUGGAAGAGCACUUGCCUAGCACAUGUGAGGCACUGGUUCAAUCAUUAGCACACAUAAAAAUAUAGGCAUGCUCUCCAUCUACAACUACAAAAAAAAAAAAAAAUUUUUUUUUUUUUAAGGACUGAGAAUGUAGUUCAGUGUUAAGCAUUCAUGGAUUCAAUACUCAGUGUACCCCACCAGAAAAAAAAAAAAAAAA